UAAUACUGAAUUAUUUAUAUUUUAAUAUAAUUCAUUAAAUGCAUAAAAUUUCUUUUUUUAAGGACUAAACCAGUGGUAAACAUAGAAAAGACCUUAACAUUAACACCGAAUACCAUUGAUUUCAAGGCUCAGGACUGCAAGAGAUAUUCAUGCCUUAUUACAGCUCAGUCCUGCUUCACUUACACUGUCCAGACAAUCACAAACUUAGGAUCAAGUACACACUAAAGGCUGAUACAGUGCGGAUAGAGAGGGGUCUUCCUUCACAAGUGGUCUUUGUGAAUUCUGAGGCUGCACAGGGAUACCAGGAACUGUCUGUCCAGGGCAAACGAGAGUGUAUCCAGACCAAGCUCAGGCUGCUGGGAGAUAUCCAGGACAAGCUGACGAGCAUUUCCAUCAGCCUUUCUGUUUCUUUGCCAUCUAAUAAUCCGAAACAGACAGUCAGAAACCUCCCUGGCUUAGAGCCGGUUCUGAACGCUCUGCAAGAAAAUGCAACCAAAGCAGAGGAAACUCAGGUGCAGUCUAACCCCAAUGAAAAUAAAACGCAGGUUGACUGCCAACUUGAAAAUCCCUUUAAAAGAGACUCUUGAGGUUUCAUUCUUCCUGAUACUUAGCGCAGAAAGGCGUCCCUUGAGAGUAACAAGCGCCAAUGUGACUGUCCCUUAA
RNAcentral lists this long non-coding RNA (663 nucleotides) under Sinocyclocheilus grahami. RNAcentral's name for it is "lncRNA (ENSSGRG00000024595.1)". The record is from RNAcentral. Lineage: Eukaryota; Metazoa; Chordata; Actinopteri; Cypriniformes; Cyprinidae.